UCUGGUAAUGAUGGCAGAGAGGUCACACCCGUUCCCAUACCGAACACGGAAGUUAAGCUCUCUAGCGCCGAUGGUAGUUGGGACCUUGUCCCUGUGAGAGUAGGACGUUGCCAGAC
RNAcentral lists this ribosomal RNA (116 nucleotides) under Bacillus cereus. RNAcentral also lists the same sequence under 4 other names. Lineage: Bacteria; Bacillati; Bacillota; Bacilli; Caryophanales; Bacillaceae. The record is from RNAcentral.